Long non-coding RNA from Gadus chalcogrammus (walleye pollock), 2531 nucleotides. RefSeq lists it as uncharacterized. Lineage: Eukaryota; Metazoa; Chordata; Actinopteri; Gadiformes; Gadidae. The transcript has 3 exons. The record is from RefSeq and is a predicted model, not a curated record.
AGAAACACUUGCGUUACAGUGUGUGUAUUCACACACACACAUGUGGCGCUCGCACGGUCGAGUCUCAUUGGCGGGCCAACGUCUCUGGGCGGGCCAGGCAGAGUAAGGGGAGGAGCUGAGAUUCCUGAUGACGUCAUGAGCACAGACAUGCCAAAUCAGCGCGCUUGAGCCUCCAUUUUUUCGAAGGCGAGCAGAACAGCUAGUGCUAGUUUUACACCAAACGCAAGUUUUAGCCACUGGGGGACCAUAGGCAGGCUAGGGGAACUCAUAUUUAUGUUAGAAAACCUCCAAAAGUGAGAUUUUCAUGUCAUGGGACCUUUAAGCAAAUCAAGGAUGUCAGAGGGCGUAGUAAAAGAGAUAGAAGUCUGGCAGCAACAAGUAUGGGGAGACCAUCUACUCAUUUACACUGAUGGGUCAAAGGAGCAUGAGAGUGGUAAAGUAGCAGUGGGUAUUAGCAUUCCUGAAAUCGGGUACAGAAUAGGGUAUAGAAUCUCAGAUCAUAUGUCAGUAUUCACAGCAGAGAUUGUGGCAGUCUUAUGGGCCUUACGAUGGGUGCAGGAUAAUAAACAGGGGUAUUCAAUAAUAUGUAGUGAUUCAGCUGCAGCUUUAAUUUCAAUAAAAAAAGGAAAAUCCAAGUCCAGACCGGAUUUAAUUGUGGAUAUUCUACAGUCUCUGUUCAGAAUUUACAAGGCGGGGAGGAGGUGGGGUUUCUCUGGGUGCCGGCUCAUGUGGGUGUGAAAGGGAACGAGGAGGCGGAUGAGGAGGCAAAGAAGGCGGUGAAGGAGGAAACAGUGAAAAAUUCAUUUGCAAUAUGGGGCACCCGAGUACAUGGAAAAAAUAAACAGGGCUCUAAAAGAAAGGUGGCAAAAUUCUUGGGAGAAGGAAGGGAAGGGCGUACUUUUCAAUACAGGAAAAUGUAAAUAAAGAUAGGUGCACUUUUGGGUGCAUAAGAAAAGAUGAUGUAGCAAUCACAAGACUGAGGCUUAGAAACUGUGGGCUGAGGAGUGGGCUGGCUCUGAUUGGCAAACACCCAGAUGGCAGGUGUGAGUGUGGAGAAAGAGAGACUGUAAAACAUGUACUUCUCCAGUGUGGGCGCUAUUCCAGGCAACGGAGGACUCUGUACCGGAGGCUUGGAUCAGAUGGAGAAUCAGUUUUUAGUAUGCGCACCCAUUUAAAUCUGGAUUCAGUGGAUAAAACAAAGGAAUUGAUGGACUACCUUAACAUCAUUGGAGAGGAUUUAAAGUUUAGGGGGAAAUAACAAACAGUGGGGGGCAGUAAUACGCCAUAGCUGCGUCAAGAUUGCCUAAAUAAAAGAAGAAGAAGAAGAAGUUAAGGCGGCUGCAUGCUUCAGCGUUGGUGUUACGUUGUUGCGCAAAAUUUACUCAAAGCAAUUCAUGCUCCCUUUUAGGUUGCGCGUGUUGCGCGUGUUGCCAAGCAAUUUACCGCCAGAACAGUAGGUGGAGUAAUAUGUGGAGGAAAGUUUUUCGUUGAAGACGACCUCGAGAAUGACGUCUUUGUCUGUGGGAGUCGUUGGUUUGUUUAUGUGCCAGAUCGUGUUCUCCCCAUACACAGUGAAUGAUGGCAACAGACAGAGGAACAGGGGUGAUGAAGUUGUUGAUCAUUGGGGUUGUAUAAAUGUGCAUAUCUCUCUACAUUUUAAAACGACAUAAUGUGUUGGCAGCAAAGUUAACUUCACUUCAGGUUAAUGCUUUUGUAUAUGAGCCUGCCGGGUGAUACUCCAGACAGGAAGUAGUAACCAGACCAGCAAACCAAUCACAGCCUUGCAGGCUGGGCGGCUCGCGUAAAAGCUUACGUAAAAAAUGACGCAAGUCUAGAAAAAUCGCCCGACGCACGCAAGACGUGAGAAGUCGCGCAAGGGGGGCGCAAGGGCGCGCAAGGGCCUCUUGCGCUUGCGCUUACGCUUACGUAACCGAGCAUAAACCAGCCUUAACGCCUCCUACUACAAGUUACGCCCACAACAAGUUACGCCUCCGUCUUGCAGGACGCAGACAGACCCUACUCUACGAUCGUGUACACGUAGUUCUUUCCUUGAGAGACACCAUGGCUCGCAAACGAGCGAAGCAUAGCAGUUGCUUAGUGUUUGGAUGUACAAAUGAACACGAAAGUCUAUAUUUUGUUCCUUCCUCCGAGCCUCUGAAGAACCAGUGGGUUAAUUUCAUUGUCUCUGGAAAUGCGCCAGUCUGCGCCAAACAUUUCACUGACGACUGCUUCCUUAACUUGGGCCAAUACAGAGCUGGACUUGCUCAACGUCUGAGAAUCAAGUCUGGAUCAGUACCAACUCUCCAUGGCUCAGCUACAAACCUCGGACAAGCCAGCUCAUCAAAUGCUUACAUUCAGCAGCUUCUCUCAAGGGAUGUUGCCUGCCAGACAGACCACCUGGAAACACGUACUGUAGGCACACAGCUAUCCUUAAAGACUUCGCAGCCCCAUUUUAAAAGUGAAGAAGACUGCGAUGCCUUUGGAGACCGUAGCACUCAGCGCGGCGCCACCUCAGAGAUUCUGGGUGUGGA